This 426-nucleotide ribosomal RNA is filed under the name uncultured bacterium. Its description in RNAcentral is "partial 16S ribosomal RNA". It matches the Rfam family "Bacterial small subunit ribosomal RNA", at positions 354 to 796 of the family's 1533-position model. The record is from RNAcentral.
GUGAGGAAUUUUCCGCAAUGGGCGAAAGCCUGACGGAGCAAUGCCGCGUGAAGGAUGAAGGCCUAUGGGUUGUAAACUUCUUUUCUUAGAGCAGAAUAUUGACGGUAUCUGAGGAAUAAGCAUCGGCUAACUCUGUGCCAGCAGCCGCGGUAAGACAGAGGAUGCAAGCGUUAUCCGGAAUGAUUGGGCGUAAAGCGUCUGUAGGUGGCUUCAAAAGUCUCCUGUCAAAGAUCAGGGCUUAACCCUGGGCCGGCAGGAGAAACUCUGAGGCUAGAGUUUGGUAGGGGCAGAGGGAAUUCCCGGUGGAGCGGUGAAAUGCGUAGAGAUCGGGAGGAACACCAAAGGCGAAAGCACUCUGCUGGGCCACAACUGACACUGAGAGACGAAAGCGAGGGGAGCAAAAGGGAUUAGAUACCCUGGUAGUCC